AGGAAUAUUGGUCAAUGGACGAGAGUCUGAACCAGCCAAGUAGCGUGAAGGAUGACUGCCCUAUGGGUUGUAAACUUCUUUUAUACGGGAAUAAAGUGAGGCACGUGUGCCUUUUUGUAUGUACCGUAUGAAUAAGGAUCGGCUAACUCCGUGCCAGCAGCCGCGGUAAUACGGAGGAUCCGAGCGUUAUCCGGAUUUAUUGGGUUUAAAGGGAGCGUAGGCGGACGCUUAAGUCAGUUGUGAAAGUUUGCGGCUCAACCGUAAAAUUGCAGUUGAUACUGGGUGUCUUGAGUACAGUAGAGGCAGGCGGAAUUCGUGGUGUAGCGGUGAAAUGCUUAGAUAUCACGAAGAACUCCGAUUGCGAAGGCAGCUUGCUGGACUGUAACUGACGCUGAUGCUCGAAAGUGUGGGUAUCAAACAGGAUUAGAUACCCUGGUAGUCCACACAGUAAACGAUGAAUACUCGCUGUUUGCGAUAUACAGUAAGCGGCCAAGCGAAAGCGUUAAGUAUUCCACCUGGGGAGUACGCCGGCAACGGUGAAACUCAAAGGAAUUGACGGGGGCCCGCACAAGCGGAGGAACAUGUGGUUUAAUUCGAUGAUACGCGAGGAACCUUACCCGGGCUUGAAUUGCAACUGAAUGAUGUGGAGACAUGUCAGCCGCAAGGCAGUUGUGAAGGUGCUGCAUGGUUGUCGUCAGCUCGUGCCGUGAGGUGUCGGCUUAAGUGCCAUAACGAGCGCAACCCUUAUCGAUAGUUACCAUCAGGUUAUGCUGGGGACUCUGUCGAGACUGCCGUCGUAAGAUGUGAGGAAGGUGGGGAUGACGUCAAAUCAGCACGGCCCUUACGUCCGGGGCUACACACGUGUUACAAUGGGGGGUACAGAAGGCAGCUACACGGCGACGUGAUGCUAAUCCCUAAAGCUUCUCUCAGUUCGGAUUGGAGUCUGCAACCCGACUCCAUGAAGCUGGAUUCGCUAGUAAUCGCGCAUCAGCCACGGCGCGGUGAAUACGUUCCCG
RNAcentral lists this ribosomal RNA (1016 nucleotides) under uncultured bacterium. RNAcentral describes it as "bacterial SSU rRNA". It matches the Rfam family "Bacterial small subunit ribosomal RNA", at positions 357 to 1376 of the family's 1533-position model. The record is from RNAcentral.